This 406-nucleotide ribosomal RNA is filed under the name uncultured bacterium. Its description in RNAcentral is "partial 16S ribosomal RNA". It matches the Rfam family "Bacterial small subunit ribosomal RNA", at positions 30 to 526 of the family's 1533-position model. The record is from RNAcentral.
AUUGAACGCUGGCGGCAGGCCUAACACAUGCAAGUCGAACGAGUGGCGGACGGGUGAGUCAUGUCUGGGAAACUGCCCGAUGGAGGGGGAUAACUACUGGAAACGGUAGCUAAUACCGCAUACCAUCGGGUGUGCCCAUAUGGGAUUAGCUAGCAGGUGGGGUAACGGCUCACCUGGGCGAAGAUCCCUAGCUGGUCUGAGAGGAUGACCAUGCACACUGGAACUGAGACACGGUCCAGACUCCUACGGUAGGCAGCAGUGGGGAAUAUUGCACAAUGGGCGCAAGUCUGAUGCAGCCAUGCCGCGUGUAGGAAGAAGGCCUUCGGGUUGUAAAGUACUUUCAGCGAGGAGGCGUUACUCGCAGAGGAAGCACCGGCUAACUCCGUGCCAGCAGCCGCGGUAAUUC